UGCUAUGUUGCGUUCUCGGAGCUUGAGAUG
RNAcentral lists this non-coding RNA (30 nucleotides) under Rattus norvegicus (Norway rat). The record is from RNAcentral. Lineage: Eukaryota; Metazoa; Chordata; Mammalia; Rodentia; Muridae.